UUCCACAGCUACUGGCCUGAAACUGCUUAGUGCUGUAGCAGUUGCAGUAUUCCGACUGUGGGAAAUCAGCAGUUACACAGUGCACAAAUGCGCCUUUCGUUUUGUCACCCAAGUGAAAGGGAUUGCAGUGUAACAGACAAGA
Heteronotia binoei (common prickly gecko) is the source of this 142-nucleotide small nucleolar RNA. RefSeq annotates it as small nucleolar RNA SNORA41. The transcript has a single exon. NCBI's taxonomy places the organism in Eukaryota, Metazoa, Chordata, Lepidosauria, Squamata, Gekkonidae. The record is from RefSeq and is a predicted model, not a curated record.